CGGGCCCAAGUUCAAGGUCCCAGUGGAGUCAUUGUUGGUGGAAGGAUCUGAACCCACCAAUCGGCCAGCUCUGUAUGAGAAGACAAGGACCUUUCUCCAUGAUCCUUUCGUCCCUGUAGCCCAGCCUACAGCAGAAAGAUGGGGCUGCACCCCUGCCGUGGGCUGAGGCUGGGAAGGAACGCGGACGGGGAGGAGGACCCAGGCAGCACCUCCCCGCGGACCAGAACUCGAACCCACAGCUCUGGACUUAGCCGGGGGCUCUGGCGCUCGCCUCCGCCUCCGAGCGGAUGUGCCGGAUAUUUGUUGCCCUAAGUUCCUGAAUCACCUCCUGAGAAAUGCAUUGUGGUGGGCGUGUGUGUUCCUCUGGGGACUCCGUGCUUGGGCUUAAAGCAUUUAGGAAAUCAAUAAAAUAAAUACUCUCUAAGCCUCGGAUCGCAAAAACAAACAACGGGUCCUUGGGACCUCGAUGUGGAUUUAACAAAUUAACACUGGGCCUUCUCAGAGGAGCCUCGGAGCUGGAGAAAUAUUUACAGCCUGGAACGU
Molecule: long non-coding RNA, 543 nt
Filed under: Homo sapiens (human)
Lineage: Eukaryota; Metazoa; Chordata; Mammalia; Primates; Hominidae
Description: long non-coding RNA NONHSAT221386.1
Source: RNAcentral